Molecule: long non-coding RNA, 341 nt
Organism: Humulus lupulus (European hop)
Lineage: Eukaryota; Viridiplantae; Streptophyta; Magnoliopsida; Rosales; Cannabaceae
Exons: 2
Source: RefSeq, a predicted model, not a curated record
CUAAGGACAUUGAGACGUGACUCCUAGGGCGGACGCGCCGAGGUUAUUCAAGGACCAGUGAUCUCCUGUUUACCUCAUAGGGUGACAUGGACAACUAGCGUUCCAUGCUCAUCAUGUAGCAAAUAGGAUUUCUCUAUGGCACGCGUGGUGACGUGAGGAGUUCUUCAUCAUGGGGUGUAUGGCGUGGGGCAAUCCUAUGGACGAUAAAACGAUCAACGUAGAACGCCAUUUAAAUUAUGUUUUGUUUUAAGGGACUUUUUCCUAAAUUAUCAGUGGGACUCUGUUAUUUAACUUAAUUGGUUUUCUUUGAACUUUGCAUAAAAACCUAUGUUUUAUUUAAA